CCACACGACUCUCGGCAACGGAUAUCUCGGCUCUCGCAUCGAUGAAGAACGUAGCGAAAUGCGAUACCUGGUGUGAAUUGCAGAAUCCCGCGAACCAUCGAGUCUUUGAACGCAAGUUGCGCCCGAGGCCAUUCGGCCGAGGGCACGCCUGCCUGGGCGUCACG
This 164-nucleotide ribosomal RNA is filed under the name Briza media. Its description in RNAcentral is "5.8S ribosomal RNA". It matches the Rfam family "5.8S ribosomal RNA". Rfam says of the family: 5.8S ribosomal RNA (5.8S rRNA) is a component of the large subunit of the eukaryotic ribosome. The record is from RNAcentral. Lineage: Eukaryota; Viridiplantae; Streptophyta; Magnoliopsida; Poales; Poaceae. RNAcentral also lists the same sequence under 5 other names.